GGAGGGUUGGCCGAGCGGCUUAAGGCGCACGAUUGGAAAUCGUGUUUGCGUUAAUAGCGUAACGAGAGUUCAAAUCUCUUGCCCUCCGCCA
Molecule: transfer RNA, 91 nt
Rfam family: tRNA
About the family: Transfer RNA (tRNA) molecules are approximately 80 nucleotides in length. Their secondary structure includes four short double-helical elements and three loops (D, anti-codon, and T loops).